This 275-nucleotide ribosomal RNA is filed under the name uncultured bacterium. RNAcentral's name for it is "partial 16S ribosomal RNA". It matches the Rfam family "Bacterial small subunit ribosomal RNA", at positions 399 to 691 of the family's 1533-position model. The record is from RNAcentral.
GCGUGUGUGAAGAAGGUCUUCGGAUUGUAAAGCCCUUUCGACAGGGACGAUGAUGACGGUACCUGUAGAAGAAGCCCCGGCUAACUUCGUGCCAGCAGCCGCGGUAAUACGAAGGGGGCUAGCGUUGCUCGGAAUCACUGGGCGUAAAGGGCGCGUAGGCGGCUUGGUCAGUCAGGCGUGAAAUUCCUGGGCUUAACCUGGGGACUGCGCUUGAUACGGCCAGGCUUGAGGCCGAGAGAGGGUGGUGGAAUUCCCAGUGUAGAGGUGAAAUUCGU